Molecule: ribosomal RNA, 568 nt
Filed under: Lithodytes lineatus (gold-striped frog)
Lineage: Eukaryota; Metazoa; Chordata; Amphibia; Anura; Leptodactylidae
Description: partial 16S ribosomal RNA
Rfam family: Bacterial large subunit ribosomal RNA
Source: RNAcentral
CGCCUCUUGACAACUAUAAGAGGUCCAGCCUGCCCAGUGACUCUGUUCAACGGCCGCGGUAUCCUAACCGUGCGAAGGUAGCGUAAUCACUUGUUCUUUAAAUAAGGACUAGUAUGAAAGGCACCACGAGGGUUGCACUGUCUCCUUUCUCUAAUCAGUGAAACUAAUCUUCCCGUGAAGAAGCGGGAAUGAAAAUAUAAGACGAGAAGACCCUAUGGAGCUUUAAACUAAACAAUAAUAGCCAACCCACUUACACAACUCCAGAUGAAUACUUUACCCUGGCUUAAUAAUUUUUAGUUUUUGGUUGGGGUGACCACGGAGAAAAAAGAAACCUCCGCAAUGAAAGACUCUCCUUCUUAAUUUUAGGACUACUUUCCUAAACAUCAAUAAAUUGACAUAUAUUGACCCAACAACGUUGAUCAAUGAACCAAGUUACCCUAGGGAUAACAGCGCAAUCCACUUCAAGAGCCCCUAUCGACAAGUGGGUUUACGACCUCGAUGUUGGAUCAGGGUAUCCCAGUGGUGCAGCCGCUACUAAAGGUUCGUUUGUUCAACGAUUAAAACCCUA